This is an RNA transcript of Poeciliopsis prolifica (blackstripe livebearer), 6422 nucleotides long. It is a transcript of the gene named cyclin-dependent kinase 12, with no coding region annotated. The transcript is spliced from 15 exons. NCBI's taxonomy places the organism in Eukaryota, Metazoa, Chordata, Actinopteri, Cyprinodontiformes, Poeciliidae. The record is from RefSeq and is a predicted model, not a curated record.
GCGAGAGCAGUAGGCGGGCUUUUUCUUGCGAUUGGCUGUCGAGAUUGCCAGCACUCCCUCUUCCGGUCAAUUCGCUGGUGCGCAGAAGUUGCUAGUCACAGGAGCCACAAUGGCGAUUGUAGUCUCCUUCAGAUAGGGCUGUGGAUGAUACAAAAUCCACCAGCAUCGCCCUAAAUAUAGGCCUGGUUGAUUUCCAGAGCCAUUAAUAAUAAACAGGAACAUCUACUACACACGAAAAUACUAUAAUUUCUAAUCAACAUUGAAUCUAUAGAGGAUAAAACUUACAUUAAAGGGAACAUGUAAACAGCACCAACCGGGUCAAGUUUUCAUUUUGUUGGAGAAACGAGCGUCUUUUACUCAAGGCGUCUGCUUGUUUCUGAAAACUAAGACCGUUAUUCUGUGGAAUAAUAAUACGUUUUCUUAACUUGGCACCGGACAAGGACACCUUUCACAAAGGGACUUUUUUCUUUUUUAAGAGUCUGCUCGCUAGCCGUCGAGCAUUAGCUAGCUGUGCUAGCUACGUUGAGACGGAGGCGACACCACAAUGCUCCUAUGUUUGGUUUGGACCUUCCUCAUUCAGUGACUGUCUCGGAGUGCUAACUUUUCUGCACAGGAAAAUCACCUUGGAUUUUUUGUUCUUGUUUUGGAAAACUACUUUGGUGAGCUAAUGGAAUGAAUUGGCGCUGAGGAGGACAGGACGCGAGCGGCCUAGAGUGUUUAUUUUGUGCUUGUGUUUAUUCUGGUUCUGCUUUGCAACUCUUUGUUUUAACAUUUGAAGUAGCCGUUGUUUUCUCGUGGAUGAAUCUCUCGGAACACGGAAGCCGGCGUGAGGUAUGCCAGGGUCGGACCGACACCAUGGGACCAAGAGGAAGACUGUUUCGAGCGGCGGCGUGCCACACCAGACCCAAGGCCCAGCUCACACCUCUGAGGGAAACAUGACGAGCAAAGAUAGUAAGGCGCUGUUAAAAGCUUCCAUGAUAUCUUCGAAACGAAAACGGCAUAAAUCAAACAAACCUAACCGAGAAUCCGUGGCGGUACCGCGACCCGGGGUUUUUGCCCCGGGUAGUACGGCGCCUCCUGGUGUCAACACGGUGAAGCCUCUGGUAGAGUACGACGACAUCAGUUCCGACUCGGACACUUUCUCGGAUCCCCCGUCCAACAGGCCUUCUGAGAGGGGGGUCGGGGACCGACUGGAUCCCUCCCCUUCUCCCGAACACGAUGGGGACGAUAUCGUCAUAGAACCUGAGCGAGAGAGCAAGGGUCAAAGACACUCUCGGAAAAAGCCCAAGGACCCUAAUAAAGUCAAAGAUUCUGGAAACGGGGAGCAUGGGUACAAGAAAAAGAGCAGCAAAGAUCGUGAAAAAGGUAAUUUUGGGAAAAUCAAGGAGAAAACUGCUUCAUCAGGCUCCUCGUCCAAGCGCCAGCUCCAACCGGAAGGUGACACCAAGCGUGGGGAGUCAACGCUCUCUGUACAGACUGCAGCCAGUGUAGGUAGCACCACAUCCUCCACAUCUUCAUCUCGCAGUAAGGAGAGCGGUCGCUCAGGGAAGACUCAUAAAGAAAAGCAACAGCGGAGAGAAGGCCGAGGAGAUGGAAACCGAAGCUCCUCCCAUAGGAGCCGGACAGACAGGACUCACCGCAAGUCCUCCAAGAGCCACAAGUCGAGCCCUAAGGUGAAGCUGUCAGGCAGGGGAAGCCCUCGCAGAAAGGGCGCCAGCUCUGCUGUACCAUCCAGUCCCAGAAGAGGCAGUGAGAGUCCACUGGGCUCCAACUAUGGACAACAGGGGGAUGAUGGGUACUCCAGGCGGAGGUUAGCCCAGAAGAGCCCCAGCCCUUACAGGGAUUUGUCCCACCGCAGCAGGCAAAGAUCGGACAGCCCUUAUGUCAACAGGCACAGGUCCUCCAGCUGUGAGAGGGACAGCAGCCCUUACUCCAGGAGGCGCUCUAUCAGCCCCUAUGUCAGCCGGAGGUCCUCCAGCUUAAGCCCAGCGUCUCGACGCUCAGGCCGUUCCAGAAGUCGUUCCCCGCUACACUACUCCUCUCGCCGCUCCUCGUCUCGUUCACGCAACAAAAGGCAUCCGUCUUCAGCUUUAGGAGGCGGCAGCUCCCACACUGGUCGUCCUGCUAGCCGCUCCCCACCUUCAUCUCGCUUACCCCUUAAUUCCAGCUUGGGUGCAGAGCUCACACGCAGAAAAAAAGAGCGCCUGGCCGCUGAGGCGGCCGCCCGCGCCAAUGCCAGUGGUACCUCUUCCCCUCUUCCAUCCACCCAAAAACUCGCUAGUGCCACAUCUUCACGGCCCACUAAAACUGAGCCGCCACAGGUAGAAAGAGACUCUGUAGCGAAGGUGGAAACCCAGGCUCAAGCAACAGCACAAAUAGCCUCUAAUACUCCCAGGAGUGAGGAUCAAGUUACAGCACCUUUACCUUCCUCUCCCACCAAUUCCCCUGCUCCUCCUGAGCCCUCCCCUCCUGUGCCCCCGUCACCUGUCACACAGGUGCCACCCCCGCCACCACCGCCUCCUCAGCCAGAAGGGGCUAAUCAACCCGCCACGCAUCACACAUCCCAGGCAAAAUCGCCAGGGUUUGUUCCUGCACACAGUCCUGUCCGCCAGACACCACUCCACAAAACAUCCACUCUGCCCCCCCUCCCUCUGCCCCCGAUGCUGCUGGGAAACACUCAGGACAGCCCAAAGAAAUCCACGCCUCCCCAGCGUCCAUCGAGAAAGGAAAAGUCGUCUAGCAGCCGCCCGUCUCUCAUUGAUCUCCCUCUGCCGCCCACUUUGCCUGGAGUUAACUCAUCGCCGCCUCAGUCGCCUGUCCGCCAGCCGCCACCUGUCCCCCAGCAGCCCCUCAAGAAGAGACCAAAGAUUUGUUCCCCACGUUACGGUGAGAGAAAACAUAACUUGAGUGACUGGGGGAAACGCUGUGUGGACAAAUUUGAUAUCAUUGGGAUCAUAGGCGAAGGCACAUAUGGCCAAGUGUACAAGGCGAAGGACAAAGACACAGGGGAACUUGUUGCUUUGAAGAAAGUGCGGUUGGACAAUGAAAAAGAGGGAUUCCCUAUCACCGCCAUCAGAGAGAUAAAGAUCUUGAGGCAGCUCAAACAUCGCAGUGUUGUCAACAUGAAGGAAAUUGUUACCGACAAGCAGGAUGCACUAGACUUCAAAAAGGACAAAGGUGCAUUUUAUUUAGUAUUCGAGUACAUGGACCACGACCUGAUGGGCCUUCUGGAGUCAGGCCUGGUCCAGUUCUCCCACGAACACAUCCGCAGCUUCAUGCGUCAGCUCAUGGAGGGCCUGGACUACUGCCAUAAGAACAACUUCCUGCACAGGGACAUCAAAUGUUCCAACAUACUGCUCAACAACAGAGGUCAGAUCAAACUGGCAGACUUUGGUUUGGCUCGACUUUACAACUCUGAAGAAAGUCGACCUUACACUAAUAAAGUAAUCACACUAUGGUACCGUCCUCCUGAACUGCUGCUUGGGGAGGAGAGGUAUUCCCCAGCCAUUGAUGUUUGGAGCUGCGGGUGUAUUCUUGGAGAGCUCUUCACUAAAAAACCAAUAUUUCAGGCAAACCAGGAACUUUUACAAUUGGAACUCAUCAGCCGUCUGUGUGGAAGUCCUUGUCCUGCGGCGUGGCCCGAUGUCAUCAAACUUCCACUCUUCAAUACCAUGAAGCCCAAGAAGCAGUACAGACGGCGGCUACGAGAGGAGUUUGCCUUUUUGCCUUCUCCUGCGCUGGACCUGCUGGACCGAAUGUUGACCCUCGACCCUUCACGUCGCUGCACAUCGGAGCAAGCUCUUCUCAGUGACUUUCUUACUGAUGUCGAUCCUGGCAGGAUGUCGCCACCAGAUCUUCCUCAUCACCAGGACUGUCACGAGUUGUGGAUUAAAAAGAAAAGACGUGCACGUCAAAGUGGGUUGCCUGAGGAUGUGCCUGUGCCCAAAGUGCUCCGUAAAGAUAUGGCUGGGACCUCCAGUGGAGAGAACAGCCGACCCCAAAGCAGCCCGCCUGGAGCUCCGCCCCCACCCCCAGGAAAGCCGCCCUCCACAGCCAAACUAGACAGUGAACUGACAGGUCUUGGAGCGGCCGCAGAGCAACUGAAUCAAACUGAGCUGGCCGUGCUGCUUAACCUCCUCCAGGGACAGACUGACCUAAAGCUGCCCCAAGUGGCCCAGCUCCUUAACCUCUCUGACUCAGACACUGUCAGCCAGUUGCUAUCAACUCUCAAUGAGGCCUCUGACCACCAGGGGGCUGCAGAGGACCAGGCUCAGCCUCCUGCCUCAUCACAGCCUCCUGAGCCGCCUCCCGAACCCCAGGAGGCCUCACCCACAUCUGGAGAACCUCCGCUCAGCCAGGAAGACCAGGCCAGCCUGCUGGCUCUCAUUCUGGGCCAAAUCAUAAAACCUCAAACCGAGGAGCAAAGCGAUGAAAGCAAUGGCGUUAAGUCAGAGGAGGCGCUGACACGCGAUGGUGGCGCGUCGAAAAGGAAACAAGUUCUGCCUGACCCGUUACCUCCAAGCGGUGAGCAGCGCCCCCCGUCUCCACCCGGGUCACCUCCAGCAGGUCCUCUCCUGGUGAACUCCCAACAAGCCGAGUCAGAAACUCGGCCUAGCAACCAGGGCAUCAGCCCUGCUGUGGCUGCUGCCUUGCUUCAGCUCAUCUCCCAGCAGGACCUGGAGGUCGUGACCUCCAAGCAAAGCAAAGACCCCUCCCCGGCUGUAGAUGCCACAGGCUGUGAAGACCCCACCCCAACCUGGAUUGCGGACUCUCCUGUUAAAUCUUCAGCCCCAGCUGAGGCCCCGGUAGCGCUGGGUGCUGCUGCUCCCACCACUUCGGCACAGUUCCCCAAGGACCAGGAUCUGCGAUUUUCCCAUGGAACCGCCCGCUGAUCUCCAAUCCACUGGUGACCUUAAUGUUGGGUAUCAUGAGACAACUCCAGCAGUCCAGGCCUGAGGGGAAAGGAAAGGCAGAUGGAGAAUGCAGCCACAGAAAGUGAUUCACUGGACCAAGAGCAGCUUGCUGAGGUGACACCCUGUGUGUGCAGUGUGACACUGAGCUGUCACCUCCCACUCCUUGCAUCACACCUCUGCCCCCUGCUGGGCAAACCGCGUCACGGCAUCCAGACGCCGCCUCCGCCUCCACUGGCUCCACGGAACAUAACUUCACAUUUUGUCACGCUUUUAAUCAAAGCUUUCUUUUUGGAGUGAGGUUAUGUGAUAACUUCAAACUAUUAUGUUUUCUGAUUAUUUUGCAAUUUCAAAUACUGUAUUUGUUUAUAUUUUUGGCCACAAUAUUUUUUUAACCUACCAAGGCCCUUUGGUCAGCCCUUGCAUAUGUAAGGGCUUGAUGUAUGACACAGAAUUAGCUUUAUUGCAGAAGUAUAAUUUUACACUGCAAAAUAGAAGAAAAAAAUCCAACCUUCAUCGUAGACAAACUUGUACAUUGAGGGCAAAAAUAAUAUUAAAUAAGUCCUACAAUUAAAAAAUAGUUUUUAUUAAAAUGAGUAGUUUUACCAUAUUCUCAGCACUUAGUUUUUGUUACUUGUUAUUUUUUCAAAUUAUAGUUGACAAAGAUAGCAGAGAGAGGGAUCUGGAUCUUUGACCUUUCUUCUUUGCUCAAUCUUUAAAUCAGCCAGAGUUCUGGAUCCUCUCUGAUGUCUUCUUCUCAGCAGCUCAAUGUGAGUUUAGGUCUUAAAACAUUCCACCUGGAAUGUUUGUUUUUUGAAAGUUCAUUAUUAAUUUCAUAAGAGUAAAUCAAAGAGAGGGAUUUAGCAACUCUUCAUGUUUGUAUUUUUGAUAGUAGGAAAGAAAAGCCUUUUUUUAUUUUUCCUGACAUGCCUUUGAAACAGUUUCUUUGGAUUAUAGAUUGCUGGUUAUGAAGAUUUGUUAAUGCCAAGAUGUCACUAUUUGGUGCAACAAUAAUCAUUUUUCUACCCUCCCUCCAAUCCUCAGUGAUAUUAAGAUAAACUUGGUCCUGAAAACCCUUUAUAUUGUCUAAACAUGCUGCAAAUAAAUAUUAAAAUAAACAUUGUUUUUAUUGUUAAAAUACUCUGAUACCAUACAAUUUUCCAUUUGUUUUUCAGCCCUAACAACAUCCUCGUUAUCUCAGAGAUGAUGAUCUCACACACAUCCUAAAUUUCUGACCUGUUACAGUCCUCAGUUUAAUAUUUCCCAACUCACAACUUGACAAGCUGGAGAAGAGCCACAGAUUCUGACACAUGCAGAUGCUCCAACAUCAAAUUAAUAUCUUUUACAAAGACUUUUUUGGCUACUGUUCUGCAGGUUUGAUGAAUAUUUUAGCACUUGCUGCAAUUAACGACAAGAAAGUUGCCAGGAAGUAAAGCUGAGAAUAAUUUACAAUCUUGUAAACAUAUGAAAGACUUGGAUAAAAGAAAUGGUGCAUGACCUUUUUACAGGCCA